CACUAGCCGAACGUGGGGGAAUGCCAACGACGGACAGGGCUGUCACCACCUGACGCCAUCCCCUCAACCGUGGACUAGGACAAUGCAUUUACCCGGCCUUUACACCCAAGCACCAUGCUUACAUGCAAAGAACCUACUCGGACUCCCCCGGGUGCCUGACCCUAUGGAUCAACAGGUAAGAAGCCCGAGCCUACUCAAAAGAGCAUGAUAAACCCCCAUCUUCACACAAAGCUAUUUCUAGGCAAUUAAUUAACAUGAAGCAAUUAGACUAAAGUCCUAAGUGAGAAUAAUACAACAUACACCUAGCACUAGUUCAUAUAAUACACUACUAGCCCUAGGGUAGCAUUAUACUAUAAGAACUAUAUACUAAAAUGUAUGUCAUAUCAUUUUCACACCCAAGUUUCUCUCUAAGGAGCUAAGCCCUCCUUGAUAGCUCACCCAACUCUCUCUCUAAAAGCUAAAAGGAAAAACUAAGAAGAGGUAGUGCCCAAGUGCCUUGAAGGUGGAGUGUUGAUAGUGAAUGUGAUGAGAUGAAUGGAGCCUCCCUCUCCCCCUCCUUAAAUAGGUGGGGAAGGUCGGCUCCCCAGGGUGUAAACUGCAAUUUGCACGCGGGGACUACGGGAGGAUAGGCUCAGCACCGCCUCUGCGAAAGGCGGUGCCGUGAUGGGCUGGGCUAGGGUCAGCCGACCCUAGGGGGCGGCCACCUCCUGGUUGGCCCCGCUGGCCCCGGCCCGAAGCCCGUUGCCUUCCUCUCGGGCCCUUGAGUCUAGAUCUACCUGCAAAUUGAUGCACUUCUAUAUUGGGCUUUUGGGUACUUGUUUAUUUGCGCAUUUUUUGACGUGUCGGAUUGCGCCUUUUUAUUUGCUUUCCACCUGUAUGCCUGUAUAUGAUCUGCAAAACACAACUUGCACUACAUGUGGAACUUGGUAAGCAUUUAAUAAGUAUAUGUGGAACUUGCACUACAUGUGGAACUUGGUAAGCAUUUAAUACAUGCUUUUCUUCCUUUGCAUGGACUAUGUUGGCGGGGUAAAUAUGUCAUUAAGAACCGCCAACAAACUCCCCAAAGCUUACCCCUUGCUCGUCCUCGAGCAAGAAGCUAAGAUCUUGGUUGUUGAUCAGGAGUUGCUACAAUAUUUUCACUUCUAUCCAGUACAUACCUUCAAACAUGAAUACUCCUUUGAAUUUUGAACAGAUAUGCCAUGGGGCUUAUUGCUCAUACCUUGAGUCGUUAAGCAUUUGCAGGAUGGAUUUGAUGAGAUCGAGCACUAUAUCCCUAGUUCUUUACUUCACUUUUGUUCCGGAGUUUUUUUUUGAUUUUCAAAACUUAGCACAUUUAUUUGUCAAAUUAAACAAUGGAUCCAAAGAGAAAGUUAAUCAUACCAUUGAAUUUUUGAAAACUUUUUCUUUUCCAUCAUUCUCUUUUUUUCUAUUAGAGGCACAUGGCUAUGUGGCUAAUUCUACUGUUGGGCACUUGCCCAUUUUUUUAUUUUUAUUUUUUUGAGGUUCCGGACACAUGUCCCUUUUUAUUUCCUCGUGAUCUUUCUUUUUGAGGUUUUGGACACAUGUCCCUUUUUAUUUCCUCGGAUGCUUUUUUUUGUUUUUCAUAGCCAUAUGUCUUCUAACAAACUUUUGAGAUGAUAACAUAAUGAAAUAUUUUUGUUUUCAAUGGUAUGACAACCUCUCAAAGGGUCAACAAAGCUUAAUCUAACUCAAUGUGAUUAUUUUAUUUUUGUAAAAACUCCAGAACUCUAGCGUUGUUUAGAACAGGAUACUAGCAGCUCAGAUCAUCACAAAUAUAUCCAUUAAUUACUUUAGACUUUAGAUAGAGCAUUUUGCAACCCACACAUUUAAUCAUUUUAUUAAUUUGGAGAAUUCAAGGUUGAAACUAGAUACUGGAAGGAAAUUACGAUAGAGCAACUAUUCAUCAUUUCAACAAGGAAGAAGCAUAUAUCUUACAUCACAUAUAAGAGUGGAAUUAUAUUUUUGUCUUUUUAGCAUUUUUUCAUUUUUUUAUAUGCAAUAAUUAAAACAUGAAUUUAACUAAUGGAAAUUUCAUAUAGUAAACAUGCUAAUUUAAAAUUAAGGAUGCAUGAAAAUAAAUAUGCAAUGCAGAUAACCUAGGGAUUGGGGGUCCUCCCCCAAGCUAGCUUCUGGCCUACUGAUCGGGGUUAUACCCCAUGUACCGCUAGAAGUCUUGGGACUGUUUCAGCAGCUGAUCUUGGCGAGCUUGCAUUUCAUCUUGCUGCUGCUGGUGCCAGGCCUGUUGUUGCUGUUGCCAUAGCAACCCUUGCUGGUGCCACUCCAUGGCCUGCUGGUGGUGCGCAUCGGUGGUUUGGAUGUGUUGUUGGAGAGUAUCUUGGAUCUCAUCCGUGCGCACCACCAGUCCCCCAAGCUGAGCUUGGAGGCGCUCCAAGUCUGUUCGGCCUACUGUGGAGGCCGAAGGAUGUUCUUCUGGUGAUUCGUCCCUCCAGCGCGAUUGUUGUUCCCAAGCUCUGGAAUCCGCCUCACCCCACCCCUCAACACCUUGUGUCGGCAUGGGUGUGUCCCACCCCGACUGGUAGAUCGGCUGUGUAUAGGAGGGUGGUGGCUGGGAGCUGGAUCCGCCGAUGUCCCUGCCAGAAACAUUACGCUUUCGCGUAGUUUCAGCUGUCUGCAGAUCAAAGGUUAGUCUCCUAGAGUUAUACAAGUGUAGACCUGGGUUAGGUAACCGGAUUACGUUUGUAUAUCCUGGGAAAUAAAACACAAGACCGCCUGCAUUAUCUCUUUUCAAAUGGUGACCUUGGAUAAGAUAGGUUUCAUUAAUCAUGGUGCGUGGAAUUUGAAUAUAAUCAAGAUCUUGCCCUUCCAACGCACCAAUGGCCGUGGCCACACGUGUUAUGGGUGAAGUCAAAGAGAUAGGGGUGGUUGUCUUGAUUAUAUCUAACCAAUGCCUUACAAUUUCUUGCACAGGUGCAACUUUUAUUUUCAUUCUAGCCGCGUAAAGUAACCUCAUUUCAUUUACUCGCACAACGCGGGUAUCCUGGCUAGGAAACAUUGUUAUGGAUAGCCAAAGGUGUAAAAACCUUGGAGUGGGGUGUUGGAUGUGGGCAUUUCUAGGAUAGUAUUUUCCAGUGUGAACUUGCCCCAUGAUUUCUUCCCAAAACUUAUCCUUAUCAAACCCUUUUGUGGCAUGCACUAAAUCAAGAGAGCAUCUUUGAUGAAAACCAAGGUAUUUGCUUAAGUCUUUCCAAAAGAUAGCAUAUUCUUUUCCAAAUAAACGAACAGAAAUACCUUCAUAUGUUUCUCUUAAAGUGCAUAGAAAUUGAAUGGUAAAUGUAUAGGAUCCAUACUCAGUUAUGGGGUGAAUGUUGUCCCACCCGGUGGCAUUCCAUAUGGAGAGAAAUUCAUAGUCCAUACCGAUGUCGGAGAGGAGCGAGUCGUCGUAGACCGGCGUAUGGAGGAAGAUCCGGUCCUUGAGCAUGUUGUAGGCUUGAUGUUCUCGAUCACCCACCAAGUCGAACUGGUUGUUGACGGUCCUUAGUGCUCACAUUUAACCAUCAACUAAUCAUGGAAAAUGAUCUAAAUGGAACCAACACCUAGAUUUAGGGUUUUAUCUGACAGAAUUCCACGAGUUUUGGUGUUUGUCUAUUUCUGCAGGGGGUUAUCAGGAAAUACGGAAUAAAGGCCCACACGUCGGGUUUACAUAGAGAUAUUUACGUGGUGUGCAAUUUUCUAUCAUCUAGAAGACUCCAGAAGGCAUGGGAACAAAGCGGAAGCCGAGAGGACUCAGGGACAGGGCGCCCGCCCUACUCUCCUGGGCGCCCGCCCUCACAUAGAGUCCAAUCAGGAUUCUCUUUCGGGAUAUUGCUCCACCGACCUAAAGGAUCAAGGAUAACUGUUCAAUCAAUGUUGGUUUGAUCCAACGGCUCAUAUUCACUACAAGGGAGUAUAAACCAGACCCUCUGGCCCCUGGAGAUCAUACCUCUUCUACAGAAUCAAAGUUAGGGUUUCAAUUCUUCAUCCAAGUAGAGAGGAUCCCUCUAGUUCUUCUAGUUCUACCUCUAGUUCAUUUAGUUCUAGUUCUAGUUCAUCUAGUUCUAGUUCUAGUUUCUCUAGUUCUAGUUCUAGUUAGUUCUAGUUGUAAUCUAGAAAAUAGGGAGAGAGAAGAGGAGAGCGGAGGAGGAGCUGGAUCUGUCGGAUCUUCCUCAACAUUGUACUUUUGCAGCAACUGGUUCGUUCUUCAUCGUUCUCCAGGUUCUUCAAUUCAUAAUUCCUGAGUUCUCUCAUUACUUUUAUUUACAUUCAAGUUAUUUAUUCGAUUCCCACUUGCAUCAAGUGCUCUAGUCUUUAUAACGCUAGAGUAGGAAUUAGUAGAUUAGACGUGGUGUUUAGUCUUGCAAUUACAUGGAAUUGCACCCAAUCGUGCGGAUUGUUGUGGUAGCCUUAGGGUAGUGACAGCCCUAACGGUCGACGUAUUCCACCUCGUUCGGAUCGGUGUUUGUAGGACCGUAGUCAUACCUUCGUAGCCCCCUUCUCAUCUCUUUCUGUGGUUAGUGCUCUGAUGUCCCGAUAUAGACAAUCUUGAAGUAAUUCUUGAUUCUUAGAUCAACUAGAGAACACUCAGGAAACUUCCUCUCUUCCCACCAAAAACAAUUAUAUAGUUACCUUGGGCGAUCUAGAUUCUUAAUUAGUCCACUCACAUUCUCUCUGGAAUACUUCCGGAUGAAAGCUACAUCGGUAUCCGUGCGCUUGCGGAUUUUUCUAUUUGCGUUUAAAAUACCCAACAAGCUUUCUGGCGCCGUUGCCGGGGAACGGUAGCUGUGCUAGUUUUGAACCAAGUCAUCCGUGUAUCCUUCUUCUUUUCCUUUUUUAACACACUCACCUUACCAUUUUCACCACACCACAUGGAUUUCACUCUAAGCAUUAAUGAGCAUGGAAUUUAUUUCAUAGCCACUUCAGUUACUCCAUGCUCAUAUGCAACAUCUUUCCAAUCCAUUGGUUUUUCCAACAUCACCACAUUCGAGAUCUCCAACCCCCUCAUCCUUUCUAUUUAUAAAUACUUUAAAAGGACGGUUGUCGAUGCAUAUGUCUACAUUAAAUAUUGUAGAUCUCGUCCCGACGUGAAUCAUUGAUGGGGGUUUCCUGUGGAUUCUUAAAAUACAUUCUAGACAAGUGACCAGCAACAGAAUUUUCUACUCCCUUUUUAUAUUUUAUUUCCAUGUCAAAUUCUUGAAGUAAUAAGAUCCAUCUAAUUAGGCAGGUUUAGCAUCUUUUUUAGUGAGCAGAUAUUUUUGUGCAGCAUGAUCAGUGUACACAGUUAUUUUAGCUCCAACUAAAUAAGAUCUAAAUUUAUCAAUGGCAAAGACAACAGCCAGAAGCUCUUUUUCAGUGGUUGCAUAAUUAAGUUGAGCUCCUGUCAAAGUUUUACUAACAUAAGCAAUUGCAUGAUGCUUCUUAUUUUUAGUUUGUCCCAAAACUGCCCCCACAGCAUAAUCACUAGCAUCACACAUAGUUUCGAAAGGCAACGACUAAUCAGGGGGUUGAAUGAUUGGUGCAGAGAUGAGUGCAUUCUUUAAUAAAUUGAAAGAUGUUAGGCAUGCAUCAUAAAAUUCGAAAGGAGCAUCCUUGGCUAGCAAAAGAGUAAGUGGUCUAGCAAUGAAUGAAAAAUCUUUUAUGAAUCUGCGAUAAAAACCAACAUGGCCAAGAAAGCUUCGAAUUCCUUUUAUAUUCAAAGGUGGAGGUAGUUGUUCAAUUACUUAAAUUUUAGCUUUGUCUAUGUCAAUACCUCUUUCAGACACUAGGUGUCCCAACACUAUUCCUUCCCUAACUAUAAAAUGACAUUUUUCCCAAUUAAGGACUAAGUGCUUUUCUUCACAUCUUUGCAAAACCUUGUCUAAGUUUUCAAGACAACUAUCAAUAGUUUUUCCAUAUACUAAGAAAUCAUCCACGAAAACUUCCAUAAACUCUUCAAUCAUAUCAGAAAAUAUAGACAUCAUGCAUCUUUGAAAAGAUGUUGGUGCAUUACAUAACCCAAAAGACAUUCUACGGUAGGCACAAGUUCCAUAUGGGCAUGUAAAAGUCGUUUUGCUUUGAUCAUCAGGAUGAAUCGAGAUCUGGUGAUACCCUGAAUAUCCAUCUAAGAAACAGAAGAACGAAUGGUUCGCUAAUCGCUCUAGCAUCUCAUCCAUGAAAGGUAAAGGAAAAUGAUCCUUUUUCGUGGCGUUGUUCAGUUUUCUAUAGUCUAUGACAAUCCGCCACCCUAUGACGGUGCGUUGAAGAAUUAGCUCGUUCUUUUCAUUUGUAACGACAGUCAUGCCUCCCUUUUUAGGCACAACUUGCACUGGGCUCACCCACUCACUGUGCGGCACAGGAUAUAUAAUCCCUGCUUGCAGCAACUUUAGAACUUCCUUUUUAACUACCUCUCUCAUCGCAUUGUUAAGUCUUCGUUGGGGCUCUCGAGAGGGUGAAACAGAAUGAUCUAUCGGAAUACAACGGGUACAAAUCAUAGGACUGAUUCCUGUAAGAUCUUGGUGUGACUAGCCGAAAACUGAGUGAUGUUUCUCAAGAAUGGUCAUUAAUCGCAGAUUUUGCUCCUGAGUGAGUUUAUCACUAAUGAUCUGAAGCGCCCCUGGUAAACCAGGAACUCAAAUGUCAUACAAUACUGUCCUAGGAGGCUAGUAACAAAUUUAUUACAUCAGAUAAGUUUUAGCGCAGUAGUCUCGAUAAGCGUGGACAAUGAAGGCAUGCUAUAAUAAUAAGACACCAAAAUACAACAUAGGUCCAAAGGACCCAGAAACAAACGAUAUCACAACCGAACAUCUGACAAGUCCCAAUGCCACUGGCUUAGUUGGGUGCAGACACGACCUUACUCGAACGCCACUUUGGGAUCAAAGUCUAGAUCUUCCUCUGUUUAAUAAAGCAAGGGUGAGUACAAAGUACUCAACAAAUCCAACCUUACCCUACGGAAGGGGAUAACAAUAUACAUGCAUAUGGAUAAAUCAAGGAUGAGGCUUAGUUUUAUUUGCAUAAAGCUAUCUUUUUACACAUGCAAGGUUUCAUUUCACAACUACUAUUGUAAAAGAACUCUUUUUCCACAUAUGAUAGUAUUUCUAAAAAUGGGGGUUUGAUCACAAUUUUAAGUGUUGUUGAACCCUUGUUCCCACAACACAAUGGAAGUCAACCAUUUAUUUCCAAAAUCACACUCACUCUCAUGUUUUCACUCAUCCCAACCCAUCUAGUUGUUGAAACCAAACCAUAACCCAUCCAAGACCGCGGACACGGCUAUCUAGAUAGAUUUACACUCUACAGAGGUUAUACACUUUUCCCACAAGUAGGAUACCAUAACUUACACCGUCGUGUAAGCACAGAUCCAUCAAAGUCAUUAAUCUCCAUAGCUAAGUAAUGGCGCUUACCACAGGAACACUAAGGCCACAUCUCAUGACACCACAAUAAUUCAUAAAGUUCUUUUCAUAUAUUUCCACAUACAUGUUGACGGUCCUUAAUGCUCAUAUUUAACCAUCAACUAAUCAUAGAAAAGGAUCCAAAUGCAACCAACACCUAGACUUAGGGUUUUAUCUGACAGAAUUCCACAAGUUUUGGUGUUUGUCUAUUUCUGCAGGGGGUUAUCAGGAAAUACGGAAAAAAGGCCCACACGUCGGGUUUACAUAGAGAUAUUAACGUGCCGCACAAUUAUCUACCAUCUAGAAGAGUCCAGAAGCCACGGGAGCGAACGGGAGACGUAACGGAGUCGGGCACUGGGCGCCCGCCCUCCCUUACUGGGCGCCCGCCCUCCCCCCUGGACCAAUCAGGGUGAAGUUCGGGGAUCAUGCUCCACCGACCCAAUACUUCAAGGAAAACCACACGAUCAAUGUCGGUUUGAUCCGACGGCCCAGAUUCACUUGAAGGGACUAUAAAACCAGACCCCCCUGGCCCCUGGAGAUCAUACCUCUUCUACAGAAUCAAAGCUAGGGUUUCAAUUCUUCAUCCAAGUAGAGAGGAUCCCUCUAGUUCUUCUAGUUCUACCACUAGUUCAUCAAGAUCUAGUUCUAGUUCAUCUAGUUCUAGUUCUAGUUCCUCUAGUUCUAGUUCUAGUUAGUUCUAGUUGUAAUCUAGAAAAUAGGGAGAGAGAAGAGGAGAGCGGAGGAGGAGCCGGAUCUGUCGGAUCUUCCUCAACAUUAUACUUUUGCAGCAUCUGGUUCGUUCUUCAUCGUUCUCCAGGUUCUUCAAUUCAUAACUCCUGAGUUCUUUAAUUACUUUUAUUUACAUUCAAGUUAUUUAUUGGAUUCCCGCUUGCAUCAAGUGCUCUAGUCUUUAUAACGCUAGAGUAGUAAUUAAUAGAUUAGACGUGGUGUUUAGUCUUGCGAUUACCUGGAAUUGCACCCAAUCCUACGGAUUGUUGUGGUAGCCCUAGGGUAGUGACAGCCCUAACGGUCGACGUAUUCCACCACGUUCGGAUCGGUGUUUGUAGGACCGUAGUCAGACCUUCCUAGCCCCCUUCUCAUCUCUUUCUGUGGUUAGUGCUCUGAUGUCCCGAUAUAAAUAAUCUUGAAGUAAUUCUUGAUUCUUAGAUCAACUAGAGAACUCUCAAGAAACUUCCUCUCUUCGCACCAAAAAUAAUUAUAUAGUUAUCCUUGGGCGAUCUUGAAUCUUAAUUAGUACACUCACGUUCCCCGUGGAAAAUCGAUACUCUGGAAUACUCCCGGGUGAAAGCUACAUCGGUAUCCGUGCGCUUGCGGAUUUUUCUGUUUGCGUUUAAAAUACCCAACAAGCUUUCUGGCGCCGUUGCCUGGGAACGGUAGCUGUGCUAGUUUCGAACCAAGUCGUCUGUGUAUCCUUUUUCUUUUCCUUUUUUACCACACUCACCUUAUCAUUUUCACCAUACCACAUGGAUUUCACUCUAAGCAUUAAUGAGCAUGGAAUUUAUUUCAUAGCCACUUCAUUUACUCCAUGCUCAUAUGCAACAUCUUCACAAUCCAUUGGUCUCUCCAACAUCACCACAUUCGAGAUCUCCAACCCCCACUUCCUUUCUAUUUAUAAAAACUUUAAAAGGGCGGUUGUCGAUGCAUAUGUCUAUAUUAAAUAUUGCAGAUCUCGUUGAAUUGAUCUUGAUAUAGGUCAGCGUUGGAGGGGAAACCACUUCGCCGACAUAAAUUGAUGGUUUCCCAAGGACAAGCUUAGUGUCCUAAAACAAGCACUGAUUAGAUCGUAACAUGAGCUUUUAAGUAUUUGCAACAUUACCUUGUGUAUUGAGCAUAUAAGGAUAAUUGUAAAAAAAUUCCUUCGGGUAUUCUUGUCACUAACCUUUCUAGGUUUGGAGCAAGAAGAUCGGAUGAAUGACAAGCACAAGGUAUGUCCAACCAAUCAUCAUACAACAUUGAAUUAAAUUCAUCCAAACUUGAAUUUUGCAAAAUUCAAGCUUGGGGGAGUACUUUAUAUAAAAACAUUAUUUGCCAUGUUGCUAUGUUGGUUGUCCCUACCUUUGGGACAUGCUCAAUUUGUUAAAUAGUAAUCACACUACUUCAUCUCCACUUGAGUAGAUCUCUAUAAAAGCCAUCACGCUACCUUUGUUUAUCCUAGUAAGUGUUAGUUUGGAAGUACUGUACAUACUUCUAUUGGUUUUUAAAUUAAGCAUGGUGCUUAGGUUAAACAGCCUUCCUUAAUCUAAUUAGACAUGGAGUCUAGUUUGGUUAUUGAACUAAAAACUGCUUGUGUAGACAUUGGUAUAUUUUGUUGGACUAACUCCUGCAGGAAAACUUUCAAUAUCGACCUGGGAAGUCCUGAGAUAAACUCAUAUUGGAGACAAAGAGAGACACACAUGAAGUUUAACAAUUUACUCAAGGAAGGCAUAGCUCACAAGAGAUGAUCCAUGGAGGUGCCACAAACACGAUGCACAACCGCUAAGAGAGGAAAGCUUCCACAACGUGAUACUGUACCAUCACUCUUCAAGUAAGUUAUGAUCUUAUUAUCCAUCAACUUUGUUUUGCUCACUAUGCUUAAGGUUAGAGAAGAACAAAUACACUUUUGGUUCUGUUGGUGUUUUCCACCAACAGGGCCCAUGCACUUGAUCUCUGCCUUGUCUCUAUGAGUAGGUACACUUCGAGCAAAAUAUGAAGGAGUUUUACAACUCCCAGACUCCACCAAGUGAAUAACCUAGAUAUAUGAGCACAAACAUGCUGGAGAUACUGGACACUCAUGCAAACACUGCCCUGAGAUGCUUGAGGAUGUAACUACUGGAGUAACCCCGUUGUGGAAGUAAUUACUGACCUUCUGCCGGUCAAGAGAGACAAUCUAGGACGCCCCGUCAUCCCAAUCUCCAUCGGCGUGGUGGACUUCCUAGAAGCACUCUGCGACUUUGGCUCCAGCGUCAACAUUAUACCUAGGGGAAGCCAUUCCUGAACACCUCGGGAGCUUUCAUCUACGUUAGUGCUGCCAAAAUCAGUUUCUACAUCAAGGGGAGGAAGGAGACGUUUUCCUUCAAGAAACAAGACUACACAAAUCCCAGAGCAAUCCCGACAUGAACCAAGGAAGAGGACCAACAGGAGGAACAAGAACAAGUAAAUGUGUACCGAGUCAACUAAGAUGGUCACUGCAGCUCAAGGAGGUCAAGAUCGUCAACUCAAGUCACCUUUCUUGAUCAAGAAGGACGACCCUGGUGUCCCAAGCAUCGAGUGCACAAUCAACGGAUAUUCUUUUCAGAAGACACUCUACGACACCGGAUCUAACGUCAACAUAAUGGCCGCAGUCACUUAUCAGCUCCUGCAUGGAACCAUGUCCCUACAACCAACAUACAUUCCGCUCCAGAUGGCAGAUCAGACAUUCUGAAAGAUUGAAGGUUAUUGACAUGGGAGAAGACGAAUACAAUCCACCCAUCACCCUUGGAAGACCGUUCCUCAGCACUGUUAAAGCAAUCAUCUACAUUGGAACUGGAGAAGUCCACAUGCACUUCCCCUUUGAGAAGGUACGCUGCUAUUUUACUGACCCUAACCAUAUGGUUGAAGACUCUAAGUAGGUCAGGACAAGAAGAAGACGACGCAACCGCAACUAGAGGAGGCAAAUCAUCAAGGACGGAUGGGCAGACUACGAAGGAGAAGUAGUGAGGUCUGAAGACAUACAGCUUGAACAGAACUGUCCUGAGGAGACCGUAGCACCGAGUCAGGUGUGGAGAGAGAAGAUAGUUAUACACGAAGAGCAGGCGUCGCCGGAACCACCGACUACGCCAUCCAGCGAAUCCCAGGACGAAUGAGAAAAUGGAGAGUCCCGUUCGGAGGACUUAAAAACACCGAACGCCUUGCCAAGAGGUAAACUUGGUAGUUAUCUUUUUCCUUUCAAUUUAGUUUGCUUAGUUAAUCAGGUUCACAUCAUCUUAAAAAGAAAAUAAAAAUGUUAAAAAUAGUAAGCCCCAUGUGAGUAUGCUCAUGGCAUAAAACCCAUAAGUACAUUCACUGUGGUGGCGUAAAAAUAAAUAUAUAUUCCUGUCCUGUAAAAAUGAAAAUAUAAAUAAGAUUGUGAUCCUACUAAAGAGAGUAACAUUUAUUGAGGAGGCUCAACAUCAUAAAGGCUAGAUAUUUAUGCUAACACUUAACUAGUUCCACAAAGCUUUGUUGUCUAUUUGAGCUCCACAGAAUUCAAGGAUCAAAGAAGACUAGCAGACGGAGGACAUCCUAAUCACUGUCAGGGUGCUGCUGACAUUCAAAUACACCUCCACCACCUACUAGCUACAUCAAAAGAAAUUAUGUCAAAAUCCAGCUUGGGGGAGAGCACCCCCAUUUAUUCAGCUAAGUGUUCUACUCGCAUUUAUAUUUUACUCAAAUAAUAAAAAGAUGCAUAAUCAUAAAAACCCAAAUAAAGAUUUUGUGCUUAUAUAUAUAUAUAUCUUUGCUUAGCUUGCUAAAUAAAUAAAUAAAGUUUGCUAUGAACCCUCAUGAUAAGCUCUCAUAUGGAAAUGAUGAAUAGUUGCUCUGCCAUGACUAGUUCCUAAUAUUGAAAUCUCUCUCAAGUUUAGGCAUAACUGUUAUGAAUUAAGAUUUGCUCUAAACCUGAACUUGUGGGGAGAGUACUUGAUCUGAAGUCUAAGUCGUUAACGGAUAUGAUAUGGGAAGGUUGAGCUGCUGUUUAUCUGUUACUAGAGAUGCUAGAAUUCUGGAGAAUUUUAUCUUUGAAAAAAUCUUUAAAAUGUUGCAUGAUGAGUUCCUGUAUGAUGAGAGUUUAAAUUCCUACCACAGCCAGAUAUACAUGCUUGCUAGACUUUGAGCCACACAUUUACUUUUUACUGCUUAUGAGCAUUGAGUGUGGUCAAGCUGUGUAGACCCUUAGGAGCUUGUCAUGUGGUUAAAUCAAGAUUCACUUGCACGUUCACUCACACAUGCUGCUUCUACUCAGGAAGUACCAUCCACAUAUAUCCAUUUCCAUCUCCAGAACCACCCAAAAAUAUUCUACUCCUAAACUGGGAGAGAAUAUCCAAAAACAUUUCUGUUUUUCCCCUGUGAAAUAAAUGCUCAAGUUAUCUUGGUUACUACCACUUGCUACAUUAUUUCAAGAGAUGAGUGCUCUAAAAAAAACAGAAAAAAAGAGAAAAAAAAAGAUACGAGGAAAUCAAAAGGGGCAAGUGCCCGGAACCUCGAAAGAAAAGAAAAAGUGAGACGAGAGGUAAAAAUGGACAAGUGUCUGACAGUAGAAUUAGGGGUACAAGAUACCCACUUGAGAAAAAAGAAAAAAAUAUAGAGCAUCUCAUUCUCCUCAAAAAGUUUUAAAAGAGCAAGGAAGGUAUGUAUCCCCUCAAAAGAGCAAAAGUAGAAUUAGACUUUCACCAUUGUUAUCACCAUCAUCACCAUACACCAUUCAUUCGCCACACAUGCACAUCUUGAUUUGACUUAUUGACUUGUUCUUCUGGAUCCAUGGUUUGACUAUGCAAUAAAUGUCUUGUAAGUAUGUAUUAGCUGCCUCCCACCUAUGAGCUCCAGAUAUUAAAGCCUUAUUAGAGUAGGGUGAGAGAAAAGGCAAUGCCACUAAGCCUCAUACCAAAAAUACCACAUACUUUGAGAGAAUGCAUACACUAUUACUGCCUUGGUAAGGAUCCAGAAACACCACAAAAGAGAGACUAGAGAGAGUCAUACAAGGAAUCUCUGAGUUUUAUUUGAAAAUCUGCAAAAACUCCAGAGCUAUAGUUAAUCGAAGAAUAAGAGACAUGGUGCUUGACUAGACUGUUCUAUCUUUUAACUACUCAAGACAGAAGUGAUGGUUACAAGUCCCAUGGUGAAAGGUAAAUGAGUAAGUUUUAAGUCUUAACAGUUUACUCUAACCAGAGAUGAGAUCUUGUUUAAACGCAUGUGUAUCUUUAAGUUAUGAAACCACUGCAGAAACUCUUGAGUUUAUCUUUGCUCAGCGACGAGCAAAGGUUAAGCUUGGGGGAGCUUGUUGACGGUCCUUAAUGCUCAUAUUUAACCAUCAACUAAUCAUAGAAAAGGAUCCAAAUGCAACCAACACCUAGACUUAGGGUUUUAUCUCACAGAAUUCCACAAGUUUUGGUGUUUGUCUAUUUCUGUAGGGGGUUAUCAGGAAAUACGGAAAAAAGGCCCACACGUCGGGUUUACAUAGAGAUAUUAACGUGCCGCACAAAUUUCUACCAUCUAGAAGAGUCCAGAAGCCACAGGAGCGAACGGGAGACGUAACGUAGUCGGGCACUGGGCGCCCGCCCUCCCUUACUGGGCGCCCGCCCUCCCCCCUGGACCAAUCAGGGUGAAGUUCGGAGAUCAUGCUCCGCCGACCUAAUACGUCAAGGAAAACCACACGAUCAAUGUCGGUUUGAUCCGACGGCCCAGAUUCACUUGAAGGGACUAUAAAACCAGACCCCCCUGGCCCCUGGAGAUCAUACCUCUUCUACAGAAUCAAAGUUAGGGUUUCAAUUCUUCAUCCAAGUAGAGAGGAUCCCUCUAGUUCUUCUAGUUCUAUCUCUAGUUCAUCUAGAUCUAGUUCUAGUUCAUCUAGUUCUAGUUCUAGUUCCUCUAGUUCUAGUUCUAGUUAGUUCUAGUUGUAAUCUAGAAAAUAGGGAGAGAGAAGAGGAGAGCGGAGGAGGAGUCGGAUCUGUCGGAUCUUCCUCAACAUUAUAAUUUUGCAGCAUCUGGUUCGUUCUUCAUCGUUCUCCAGGUUCUUCAAUUCAUAACUCCUGAGUUCUUUAAUUACUUUUAUUUACAUUCAAGUUAUUUAUUGGAUUCCCGCUUGCAUCAAGUGCUCUAGUCUUUAUAACGCUAGAGUAGUAAUUAAUAGUUUAGACGUGGUGUUUAGUCUUGCGAUUACCUGGAAUUGCACCCAAUCCUACGGAUUGUUGUGGUAGCCCUAGGGUAGUGACAGCCCUAACGGUCGACGUAUUCCACCACGUUCGGAUCGGUGUUUGUAGGACCGUAGUCAGACCUUCCUAGCCCCCUUCUCAUCUCUUUCUGUGGUUAGUGCUCUGAUGUCCCGAUAUAAAUAAUCUUGAAGUAAUUCUUGAUUCUUAGAUCAACUAGAGAACUCUCAGGAAACUUCCUCUCUUCCCACCAAAAAUAAUUAUAUAGUUAUCCUUGGGCGAUCUUGAAUCUUAAUUUGUACACUCACGUUCCCUGUGGAAAAUCGAUACUCUGGAAUACUCCCGGGUGAAAGCUACAUCGGUAUCCGUGCGCUUGCGGAUUUUUUCUGUUUGCGUUUAAAAUACCCAACAAUACAUCACUUAGUGUCCCAUUGCACACCUGCCUCCAGGUGGUUGCCAUACUAACUAGAGGGAUUUAGGCUAAGCCUUUCCCAUGCAAGGCGAGUGGUUGUACGAUAAAUGAGUUAGGCAAGAUGAAUCAUCAACUCAGUCCUUAAUCGAGACAAGGCGGAUAUCUUCACACUUAACCCCACAAGGUAUAAGCCACAACACCAAGGCAUCCCCAAAAGAGAUCCCAUCUGCCCCAUCACUAUAGUAAUCACAUCUAUAACUUGUUCAUUAACCCUUUCACAAUACCCACAAUUUAUUUUCACCACUCACGCAGUUUUGUUUUUUGUAUUUGAGAAAAUGUAGUGAUGAGUAUCCAGGAUGAGUGACAAUUCCUAAGCAUACUAAAUAAUAAUAUUUCUGUCAUAGCAUAUUAUUUGUUCCUAGGUUCGAAUAAGACAAUUACUGGGUAAUAUUAAUUCAAGGAUGGUUAUUCAACAGGUUUUAACUAAUCAGCGAAAAUACUUCGUACAUAUAUCGUACAUGCAAUAUUUAAAACGGCUUCUAUGGGUUGUGUUUAAAAAUAGGAUCAAUAUGCAUCAAAUGAAAUUGGUUGGACUUGCCUCCGUCGGUGUUCUCGGCAAACUCCUGCUGACAGUCCGGGUCCUCGGCGUCAAACUCGCGGUACUCGUCUCCAACGUCCGCGUUUUCCGGCUCGUUCACUCCGUCAGCUAAAAUACGCGACGACCGACACAGACAACAAGCACAGAGACACAGACAAAUAUAAGGAGAGAUAUAGAAAAAAAAUACUAUAGAAAGACAGAGAAGAGCAAGGAGAUGCUCAUGAGCUGCCCACCUCGUCUUGCGACGACAGUCGAGCUCGGCUUGUGCGUAUGGCCGUAUACGUUAUACGCGAAGUGAGAGCGAGUGAGCGUGUGAGCGAGCGUGAGUGAACGUGCUACUUUGGGUGUCGAGAGUGAGCACCCAAGGCUGACUUUUUAUAGGCCAGAUUAGUGAGCUUAUUGUUGAUAUUUGGGAACGCAAUAAGGAAUUGAUCCGCAAGCGCACAGAUAUCGGUGAGCACUUCACCCGGGAAAUUAUCCAGAGUAUCGUAUUUAUUUUUUUACCACUAGGAGAAAGAGUGCAUCUGACUAACCUGUCUAUUACUACUAACCUUUAGGCACAAAGAAUGUCUUUCGAUGUGAGUGAUAAAUAGAGAAGACUGCAACUGUAGUCUCCUUCUAACCUUGGUAAGGAUGAUCUACUGUUCUAAUGGGGAGGCUAACGGAAUCUAGACACCACAAAGGAUGUUCGACCCGCACCUAUAAACCCUAUCCUUCCUGCUAACGAGAUGUGAUCUACAAAGGUAGCUCGGAAUUGUCACGUUCCUCACUACUACCACGGUCCAGCUAGUCAGGGAAUAUCUAUGAGUACCCCAGCCUAAACACCACGUUUACGCCAGCAAUGAUUACUCUAAACUCUACGCGAAGAGAUUAAAGUAAACUCAUAAACCAUAAGAACAAUAAAACAAGAACUUACUAGAAUUUAGAAGUCGAAUUACUGAAGAAUCCUAGGAGCAAGCUUCGGGUUAGGAGAACUUGAUCCCGCAGGUACAAGCUUGGAGUAGACACAGACAGGCCGGGCUUCCUCCACUCUACACCUCCACUCUAUCUCUCUCAAUCUAGUAGAAACUAGAAGAUCUAUUUCUACCUUACAUUGAUUGCUAAGCCUAAAAAGAAAUAUUAAUUAGAGAAGAGGUUUUCCUUCGAGGGCACCCCUCAGUCUCUAUGAUAAUUUCUUCAUGUCUUCUCCAGGGGCCAGGGGGCCUUGCUUAUAUAGUCCUCCCCUUCUAUGCGUUUUUGGGUCGAUAGCCGAGGUGGUACUAUGUUUUUCUUGAUCCAAUAGGUCGGUGGAAUAUCCUGAACGAAAGAGUCCUGAUUUGGCUCCAGCAGGGGGGCGGGCGCCCAGGCUACCAGGGCGGGCGCCCUAGGCCUGGCCCAGUUUUGCCUCCGCUUCAGUCUCGUGGCUUCUGGAGUCUUCUAGAUGAUGUAAAAUUGCGCGGUGCGUUGAUAUCUCUAUGUAAUCCCGACAUGUAGGCCUUUCUUCCUUAUUUCCUGAUAACCCCCUGUAGAAACAGAUAAACAACAAAACUCGUGGAAUUCUGUUAGAUCAAACCCUAAUUCUAGGUGUUGUUUGCAUAUUGGUCCUUUCUCUUGUUUAUUUGAUAAUUAAAAUUGAUACUUAAGAACCGUCAACAAAUACCCCCAUACUUAGGCUUUUACUCAUCCUCGAGAAAAGGAUGGUUAAGAAAAAUAUCUGGGGUAAAACAUUUAAAACAUUCUCUUUAUAUAAUUGCAGGGUGUUAAAAUUCCACUAUGUACCAAAGUCAGGGAUGUUUAUGGUUAAGAGUAAAGAUCCUUUCUUCUCAAUCCUGUCACUUGGAGUUUUUGUUAUAUUUUUGAAAGAAAGUUAGCAUACCUUUUUAUCCUCAUUGGUUCUCUCAGAUCACUCAUUAUCUUUUAUAUAUAUCUCACUGAGGUUGUUUUAUUUUUGCAAAAAUUCUCAAGCAUUCUUACUUUGCAUUUAUUGCCUGAUCAAAACGGGAUGCGAGGAGGGGAAUGUCAUACUCUUAGAUCCAAGACUUUGGAAAUUAAAAUCUUUGUCAACUCUUGCUGGCAUAUUGCUUAUUAGAGGGACCAUGGGCUAUCAUUUUCAUUUCAUCAUUUUUUUAAGUGGAUACCGAGGUACCCCUAAUUCUACUGCCGGACACUUGUCCAUUUUUUCUGCGAGGUUGUCGAGCACUUGCUCCUUUUUAUUUCCUUGAAAUAUUUUUAUUUUUGCAUGCCUAUGCCUCUAAUGCAAUAAUACUUCGGAAGAGUGAAUCUUUCUGAAAUAAUGUCUUGAUCUUAGGAGCAUGAUAAAUCUCUCAACAAGGGUCUAACUCAUUUUGAACAAACUCAAUACAGAGUAGAUAGCUUUAUAAUCAUCAUUAAUAUUUUUAUUUUUAUCAGGCAUAUAAAACACUGAGGAUGGUAGCUAGAAUUUUGAAUAUUUUGAAAUAAAUUCUCCAAGCAACAAUGAUAUCAAGAAUAAGAAACUCAUACUCUACCAUCACAUAUUCCAUAUUGACUUGAGUAACACAGGGUUUUAAAAUGAUUUUAUAAUAAUUGCAAGUUUUCAGGAAAUAUCACAGAUUGAGAUUAAUCAUGAUUAGAAAUAUUUUAAUCUUUUUAUUUUAUCAUGUCGGAAACAGUAAUCUGCAUAAUCCAAAAUAAAUGUAUGUAUGAAGUAAAGUGUGCAGAGUGUGUACCUGAAUCGUGGAGUGGUGUAGUCGGAGUGUGUUUGGCAUGUUAAGGGAUCUCCCCCAUACUUGUUUUCUGCUUUCUUGCACAAAAAUAAAGUAGAGACACACAAGACAUAAUAAUAAUAGUAAUACUCUUUAUUGAUCUUGAGGCAUUUAGUACAAAAGACUGAUAACAAACUGAUAAUAAUAGUAAACUGAUGAUAAUAGUAAACCUAAACCGAAUUUAAAGAUAAAUGACUAAGAUGCAUUGCCUCAAGGUCUAAUCUAGAUAACUUAACGGCGCUCUAAUUCCUUGAUCUUCUAGUUGGAACUGGCAAGAUCCUGCCUAAGGCCUAAUAUAACGGUUUUGUGGUUAGAGAGCUGCCUAGUGAGGGAAUUAAUCGAGGACUGGAGGUCUAUGAUAACUCUAUCUAGCCUGCGAACUUCCUCAUCAAUAUCCAUUAUAGUCUUGCGACGCUUGAGAGGUGUCUCAAAAGCAUUGAGAGAGUGCUUCGGGGCUGCCUUUGGAGGGAUGAAACGGACUUUGGAUGCUCUAAUCCCUUCAAAGUAAGGCCUUUCCUCCUCCGUAGUGUAUCGAACGCUGUUGAUCUCGCCGCUCCGGUUGGUCUUGACUCCAACGACCCUCUCAUUGGGUCUAGGUGGAAGGAUCCUUGUACCGAUUGGUACCUUGAUAGUGGUCUUCGUCUUGGAUGAUGGUCCUUUGAGGAGUAGGGGUUGUGGUGGUGCGGUGAGAACUGGUUGAGCAUGGUAGGAUUGGGCGGAGCUGCGUUGGCGUAAUGGCAUGGCUUCUAGUUGUCGCUCUGUGUUGGCCGGGACGAGAGCACGGGCAUCGGGGUCUUCCACUGGCUCCAUGUUGAGGUUGAAGGGGACGACUUCCCAAUCAUCGUGGUACUUCUCGGCCAUUGGAGUAGCAAGGAACUAAUAAAAUUUUAAUUGAAGUAGAGCUAAUUAAGCUCUAAUUGAAGGAGAGAAAGCUUGGUGGCUUGGUGUCUGAAAACUGAGGUCAGGGGUCUGUUUAUAUAGGGGUCAAAAGGAUGCCUCUAUGGGUUGUUCGGGUUGCUCCCGUCGAUGUGCGUGCGAAACUUUCCAUCCGAGGGAUUAUUCGGAUCACCCUAAGUGCAUUUUCCAUAUCAGAGAAAGUCGGGACCGAGGGGGAACAGGGGCUGGGCGCCCGCCCACUUGGCCUGGGCGCCCGCCCUCUCUCUGGCUCCUCUGUGGGCCCACUUUUCCGAGCGCGUUUCUAGAUGCGAAAUUAUUUAGAAAAAUAUAUAUAUGCCCCAAAACCAUUAGACCAAAAGUGUCGGGCUCUAAUUCUCCAUGGGAAGGUAAAAAUGGACUACGUCUAUUUCUUCAAAUUCCUCAUUGGGCUCUAAAAAUAAUUUAAGACGUUGACCAUUUACCUUGAAUAACGUACCUUCGCUAUUUUGAAGUGUGAUAGCUCCGUGGGAUGAUGAAUUGAUUACCUUGAAUGGUCCUUCCCAUUUGCUCCGGAGUUUUCCAUGCCCGCAAAGCUUUACCCUGUAAUUAAAAAGUAAUACCUUAUCUCCGGGUGUGAACUCCUUCUUCUUGAUUCUCUUGUCAUGCCACCUCUUGACUCUUUCUUUGUAGAUUUUUGAAUUGUGAUAUGCCUUCUCUCGCCAUUCUUCCAAUUCUGAUAGUUGCAUUCUUCUAUAAUCUCCAGCAACAUCUAGGUCCAUAUUCCAUCUCUUUAUGGCCCAGUGUGCUUUGAACUCUAGUUCAACAGGUAGAUGGCAAGUCUUCCCGUACACCAAUUGGUAUGGAGACAUUCCAAUUGGGGUCUUGUAUGCUGUCCGGUAUGCCCAGAGUGCAUCGGGUAACUUGUCUUUCCACGCCGUUCCCAUUUCAUUUACUGUCUUCUGAAGAAUAUUCUUGAUUUGUUUGUUGGAAGUCUCUGCUUGGCCACUUGUCUGAGGAUGAUAGGGGGUAGCGACGUUGUGACGGAUUCCAUGUCUUGAUAGAUAUUGCUUGAAGCGUUUAUCGAUGAAGUGUGCUCCUCCAUCACUUAUCACUACUCUGGGAACUCCAAAUCUUGGAAAUAUAAUUUCUUCAAACAUCCUCUUUGAACUGACGUUGUCGGCAUGCUGGCAAGGUAAUGCUUCUACCCACUUGGAGACAUAGUCAACCGCCACCAAAAUGUACUCACACUUCUUUGAUGGAGGAAAUGGACCCAUGUAGUCUAUUCCCCAGACAUCAAAGAGCUCAAUAUGAAGGUUGUUGGUGAGUGGCAUUGCAUCCCUUGUAUUUAUGUUUCCGUGCCUUUGACAUGGCCCACAUCUCCUGAUAUAUUGCUUCGUGUCUUCAUACAUUGUAGGCCAGUAGAAUCCACACUGCCAGAUCUUUGAAUGUGUACGAAAUGCUCCAUAGUGACCUCCAUAUGGUGAUGAAUGACAUCUGUCGAUGAUCUUCCAUCCUUCCUCAGUGGUCACACAUCUCCUGAGUAAGCCAUCAGAGCAUACUCGGAAGAGGUAUGGCUCAUCCCAUAUAUGUGAACGACUUUCUUGAAUAAGCUUCUUCUUGUUUGCUCCUGGUGGUACAUACCCUGAAACCAUAAAAUUAACAACAUCUGCAUACCAGGGGUCAGACCUGUUAAUCCCGUAGAGCAUGUCGUCCCGGAGUGAAUCAUUGAUUGGGGUUUUCUGUGGACUCUUAAAAUACAUUCUAGACAGGUGACCAGCAACAGAAUUUUCUACUCCCUUUUUAUCUUUUAUUUCUAAGUCAAAUUCUUGGAGUAAUAAAAUCCAUCUAAUCAGGCGAGGUUUAGCAUCUUUUUUAGUGAGCAAAUAUUUUAGUGCAGCAUGAUCAGUGUAAACAAUUAUUUUAGCUCCAACUAAAUAAGAUCUAAAUUUAUCAAUGGCAAAGACAACAGCCAGAAGCUCUUUUUCAGUGGUUGCAUAGUUAAAUUGAGCUCCUGUCAAAGUUUUACUGGCAUAAGCAAUUGCAUGAUGCUUCUUAUCUUUAGUUUGUCCCAAUACUGCCCCCACAGCAUAAUCACUAGCAUCACACAUAAUUUCAAAAGGUAACGACCAAUCAGGGGGUUGAAUGAUUGGUGCAGAGAUGAGUGCUUUCUUUAAUAAAUUGAUAGAUGUUAAACAUGCAUCAUAAAAUUCGAAAGGAGCAUCCUUGGCUAGCAAAAGAGUAAGUGGUCUAGCAAUGAAUGAAAAAUCUUUUAUGAAUCUACGAUAAAAACCAGCAUGGCCAAGAAAGCUUCGAAUUCCUUUUAUAUUCACAGGUGGAGGUAGUUGUUCAAUUACUUCAAUUUUAGCUUUGUCUACCUCAAUUCCUCUUUCAGACACUAAGUGUCCCAGCACUAUUCCUUCCCUAACCAUAAAAUGACAUUUUUCCCAAUUAAGGAUUAAGUGCUUUUCUUCACAUCUUUGCAAAACCUUAUCUAAGUUUUCAAGACAACUAUCAAAAGUUUUUCCAUAAACUGAGAAAUCAUCCACGAAAACUUCCAUAAACUCUUCAAUCAUAUCAGAAAAUAUAGACAUCAUGCAUCUUUGAAAAGAUGCUGGUGCAUUACAUAACCAUCUUGCGGAUGUAAAAGUCGUUUUGCUUUGGUAGGCACAAGUUCCAUAUGGGCAUGUAAAAGUCGUUUUGCUUUGAUCAUCAGGAUGAAUCGGGAUCUGGUGAUACCCUGAAUAUCCAUCUAAGAAACAGAAGAACGAAUGGUUCGCUAAUCGCUCUAGCAUCUCAUCCAUGAAAGGUAAAGGAAAAUGAUCCUUUUUCGUGGCGUUGUUCAGUUUUCUAUAGUCUAUGACAAUCCGCCACCCUAUGACGGUGCGUUGAAGAAUUAGCUCGUUCUUUUCAUUUGUAACGACAGUCAUGCCUCCCUUUUUAGACACAACUUGCACUGGGCUCACCCACUCACUGUGCGGCACAGGAUAUAUAAUCCCUGCUUGCAGCAACUUUAGAACUUCCUUUUUAACUACCUCUCUCAUCGCAUUGUUAAGUCUUCGUUGGGGCUCUCGAGAGGGUGAAACAGAAUGAUCUAUCGGAAUACAAUGGGUACAAAUCAUAGGACUGAUUCCUGUAAGAUCUUGGAGUGACUAGCCGAAAACUGAGUGAUGUUUCUCAAGAAUGGUCAUUAAUCGCAGAUUUUGCUCCUGAGUGAGUUUAUCACUAAUGAUCUGAAGCGCCCCUGGUAAACCAGGAACUCAAAUGUCAUACAAUACUAGUCCUAGGAGGCUAGUAACAAAUUUAUUACAUCAGAUAAGUUUUAGCGCAGUAGUCUCGAUAAGCGUGGACAAUGAAGGCACGCUAUAAUAAUAAGACACCAAAAUACAACAUAAGUCCAAAGGACCCAGAAACAAACGAUAUCACAACCGAACAUCUGACAAGUCCCAAUGCCACUGGCUUAGUUGGGUGCAGACACGACCUUACUCGAACGCCACUUCGGAAUCGAAGUCUGGAUCUUCCUCUGUUUAAUAAAGCAAGGGUGAGUACAAAGUACUCAGCAAACCCAACCUUACCCUACUGAAGGGGAUAACAAUAUACAUGCAUAUGGAUAAAUCAAGGAUGAGGCUUAGUUUUAUUUGCAUAAAGCUAUCUUUUUACACAUGCAAGGUUUCAUUUCACAACUACUAUUGCAAAAGAACUCUUUUUCCACAUAUGAUAGUAUUUCUAAAAAUGGGGGUUUGAUCACAAUUUUAAGUGUUGUUGAACCCUUGUUCCCACAACACAAUGGCAGUCAACCAUUUAUUUCCAAAAUCACACUCACUCUCAUGUUUUCACUCAUCCCAACCCAUCUAGUUGUUGAAACCAAACCAUAACCCGUCCAAGACCGCAGACACGGCUAUCUAGAUAGAUUUACACUCUACAGAGGUUAUACACUUUUCCCACAAGUAGGAUACCAUAACUUACACCAUCGUGUAAGCACAGAUCCAUCAAAGUCAUUACCCUCCAUAGCUAAGUAAUGGCGCUCACCACAGGAACACUAAGGCCACAUCUCAUGAUACCACAAUAAUUCACAAAGUUCUUUUCAUAUAUUUCCACAUACAUGUUGACGGUCCUUAAUGCUCAUAUUUAACCAUCAACUAAUCAUAGAAAAGGAUCCAAAUGCAACCAACACCUAGACUUAGGGUUUUAUCUCAUAGAAUUCCACAAGUUUUGGUGUUUGUCUAUUUCUGCAGGGGGUUAUCAGGAAAAACGGAAAAAAAGCCCACACGUCGGGUUUACAUAGAGAUAUUAACGUGCCGCACAAUUAUCUACCAUCUAGAAGAGUCCAGAAGCCACGGGAGUGAACGGGAGACGUAACGGAGUCGGGCACUGGGCGCCCGCCCUCCCUUACUGGGCGCCCGCCCUCCCCCCUGGACCAAUCAAGGUGAAGUUCGGGGAUCAUGCUCCACCGACCCAAUACUUCAAGGAAAACCACACGAUCAAUGUCGGUUUGAUCCGACGGCCCAGAUUCACUUGAAGGGACUAUAAAACCAGACCCUCCUGGCCCCUGGAGAUCAUACCUCUUCUACAGAAUCAAAGCUAGGGUUUCAAUUCUUCAUCCAAGUAGACAGGAUCCCUCUAGUUCUUCUAGUUCUACCUCUAGUUCAUCUAGAUCUAGUUCUAGUUCAUCUAGUUCUAGUUCUAGUUAAUCUAGUUCUAGUUCUAGUUAGUUCUAGUUGUAAUCUAGAAAAUAGGGAGAGAGAAGAGGAGAGCGGAGGAGGAGCCGGAUCUGUCGGAUCUUCCUCAACAUUAUACUUUUGCAGCAUCUGGUUCGUUCUUCAUCGUUCUCCAGGUUCUUCAAUUCAUAACUCCUGAGUUCUUUAAUUACUUUUAUUUACAUUCAAGUUAUUUAUUGGAUUCCCGCUUGCAUCAAGUGCUCUAGUCUUUAUAACGCUAGAUUAGUAAUUAAUAGAUUAGACGUGGUGUUUAGUCUUGCGAUUACCUGGAAUUGCACCCAAUCCUACGGAUUGUUGUGGUAGCCCUAGGGUAGUGACAGCCCUAACGGUCGACGUAUUCCACCACGUUCGGAUCGGUGUUUGUAGGACCGUAGUCAGACCUUCCUAGCCCCCUUCUCAUCUCUUUCUGUGGUUAGUGCUCUGAUGUCCCGAUAUAAAUAAUCUUGAAGUAAUUCUUGAUUCUUAGAUCAACUAGAGAACUCUCAAGAAACUUCCUCUCUUCGCACCAAAAAUAAUUAUAUAGUUAUCCUUGGGCGAUCUUGAAUCUUAAUUAGUACACUCACGUUCCCCGUGGAAAAUCGAUACUCUGGAAUACUCCCGGGUGAAAGCUACAUCGGUAUCCGUGCGCUUGCGGAUUUUUCUGUUUGCGUUUAAAAUACCCAACAAGCUUUCUGGCGCCGUUGCCUGGGAACGGUAGCUGUGCUAGUUUCGAACCAAGUCGUCUGUGUAUCCUUUUUCUUUUCCUUUUUUACCACACUCACCUUAUCAUUUUCACCAUACCACAUGGAUUUCACUCUAAGCAUUAAUGAGCAUGGAAUUUAUUUCAUAGCCACUUCAUUUACUCCAUGCUCAUAUGCAACAUCUUCACAAUCCAUUGGUCUCUCCAACAUCACCACAUUCGAGAUCUCCAACCCCCACUUCCUUUCUAUUUAUAAAAACUUUAAAAGGGCGGUUGUCGAUGCAUAUGUCUAUAUUAAAUAUUGCAGAUCUCGUUGAAUUGAUCUUGAUAUAGGUCAGCGUUGGAGGGGAAACCACUUCGCCGACAUAAAUUGAUGGUUUCCCAAGGACAAGCUUAGUGUCCUAAAACAAGCACUGAUUAGAUCGUAACAUGAGCUUUUAAGUAUUUGCAACAUUACCUUGUGUAUUGAGCAUAUAAGGAUAAUUGUAAAAAAAUUCCUUCGGGUAUUCUUGUCACUAACCUUUCUAGGUUUGGAGCAAGAAGAUCGGAUGAAUGACAAGCACAAGGUAUGUCCAACCAAUCAUCAUACAACAUUGAAUUAAAUUCAUCCAAACUUGAAUUUUGCAAAAUUCAAGCUUGGGGGAGUACUUUAUAUAAAAACAUUAUUUGCCAUGUUGCUAUGUUGGUUGUCCCUACCUUUGGGACAUGCUCAAUUUGUUAAAUAGUAAUCACACUACUUCAUCUCCACUUGAGUAGAUCUCUAUAAAAGCCAUCACGCUACCUUUGUUUAUCCUAGUAAGUGUUAGUUUGGAAGUACUGUACAUACUUCUAUUGGUUUUUAAAUUAAGCAUGGUGCUUAGGUUAAACAGCCUUCCUUAAUCUAAUUAGACAUGGAGUCUAGUUUGGUUAUUGAACUAAAAACUGCUUGUGUAGACAUUGGUAUAUUUUGUUGGACUAACUCCUGCAGGAAAACUUUCAAUAUCGACCUGGGAAGUCCUGAGAUAAACUCAUAUUGGAGACAAAGAGAGACACACAUGAAGUUUAACAAUUUACUCAAGGAAGGCAUAGCUCACAAGAGAUGAUCCAUGGAGGUGCCACAAACACGAUGCACAACCGCUAAGAGAGGAAAGCUUCCACAACGUGAUACUGUACCAUCACUCUUCAAGUAAGUUAUGAUCUUAUUAUCCAUCAACUUUGUUUUGCUCACUAUGCUUAAGGUUAGAGAAGAACAAAUACACUUUUGGUUCUGUUGGUGUUUUCCACCAACAGGGCCCAUGCACUUGAUCUCUGCCUUGUCUCUAUGAGUAGGUACACUUCGAGCAAAAUAUGAAGGAGUUUUACAACUCCCAGACUCCACCAAGUGAAUAACCUAGAUAUAUGAGCACAAACACGCUGGAGAUACUGGACACUCAUGCAAACACUGCCCUGAGAUGCUUGAGGAUGUAACUACUGGAGUAACCCCGUUGUGGAAGUAAUUACUGACCUUCUGCCGGUCAAGAGAGACAAUCUAGGACGCCCCGUCAUCCCAAUCUCCAUCGGCGUGGUGGACUUCCUAGAAGCACUCUGCGACUUUGGCUCCAGCGUCAACAUUAUACCUAGGGGAAGCCAUUCCUGAACACCUCGGGAGCUUUCAUCUACGUUAGUGCUGCCAAGAUCAGUUUCUACAUCAAGGGGAGGAAGGAGACGUUUUCCUUCAAGAAACAAGACUACACAAAUCCCAGAGCAAUCCCGACAUGAACCAAGGAAGAGGACCAACAGGAGGAACAAGAACAAGUAAAUGUGUACCGAGUCAGCUAAGAUGGUCACUGCAGCUCAAGGAGGUCAAGAUCGUCAACUCAAGUCACCUUUCUUGAUCAAGAAGGACGACCCUGGUGUCCCAAGCAUCGAGUGCACAAUCAACGGAUAUUCUUUUCAGAAGACACUCUACGACACCGGAUCUAACGUCAACAUAAUGGCCGCAGUCACUUAUCAGCUCCUGCAUGGAACCAUGUCCCUACAACCAACAUACAUUCCGCUCCAGAUGGCAGAUCAGACAUUCUGAAAGAUUGAAGGUUAUUGACAUGGGAGAAGACGAAUACAAUCCACCCAUCACCCUUGGAAGACCGUUCCUCAGCACUGUUAAAGCAAUCAUCUACAUUGGAACUGGAGAAGUCCACAUGCACUUCCCCUUUGAGAAGGUACGCUGCUAUUUUACUGACCCUAACCAUAUGGUUGAAGACUCUAAGUAGGUCAGGACAAGAAGAAGACGACGCAACCGCAACUAGAGGAGGCAAAUCAUCAAGGACGGAUGGGCAGACUACGAAGGAGAAGUAGUGAGGUCUGAAGACAUACAGCUUGAACAGAACUGUCCUGAGGAGACCGUAGCACCGAGUCAGGUGUGGAGAGAGAAGAUAGUUAUACACGAAGAGCAGGCGUCGCCGGAACCACCGACUACGCCAUCCAGCGAAUCCCAGGACGAAUGAGAAAAUGGAGAGUCCCGUUCGGAGGACUUAAAAACACCGAACGCCUUGCCAAGAGGUAAACUUGGUAGUUAUCUUUUUCCUUUCAAUUUAGUUUGCUUAGUUAAUCAGGUUCACAUCAUCUUAAAAAGAAAAUAAAAAUGUUAAAAAUAGUAAGCCCCAUGUGAGUAUGCUCAUGGCAUAAAACCCAUAAGUACAUUCACUGUGGUGGCGUAAAAAUAAAUAUAUAUUCCUGUCCUGUAAAAAUGAAAAUAUAAAUAAGAUUGUGAUCCUACUAAAGAGAGUAACAUUUAUUGAGGAGGCUCAACAUCAUAAAGGCUAGAUAUUUAUGCUAACACUUAACUAGUUCCACAAAGCUUUGUUGUCUAUUUGAGCUCCACAGAAUUCAAGGAUCAAAGAAGACUAGCAGACGGAUGACAUCCUAAUCACUGUCAGGGUGCUGCUGACAUUCAAAUACACCUCCACCACCUACUAGCUACAUCAGAAGAAAUUACGUCAAAAUCUAGCUUGGGGGAGAGCACCCCCAUUUAUUCAGCUAAGUGUUCUACUCGCAUUUAUAUUUUACUCAAAUAAUAAAAAGAUGCAUAAUCAUAAAAACCCAAAUAAAGAUUUUGUGCUUAUAUAUAUAUAUAUCUUUGCUUAGCUUGCUAAAUAAAUAAAUAAAGUUUGCUAUGAACCCUCAUGAUAAGCUCUCAUAUGGAAAUGAUGAAUAGUUGCUCUGCCAUGACUAGUUCCUAAUAUUGAAAUCUCUCUCAAGUUUAGGCAUAACUGUUAUGAAUUAAGAUUUGCUCUAAACCUGAACUUGUGGGGAGAGUACUUGAUCUGAAGUCUAAGUCGUUAACGGAUAUGAUAUGGGAAGGUUGAGCUGCUGUUUAUCUGUUACUAGAGAUGCUAGAAUUCUGGAGAAUUUUAUCUUUGAAAAAAUCUUUAAAAUGUUGCAUGAUGAGUUCCUGUAUGAUGAGAGUUUAAAUUCCUACCACAGCCAGAUAUACAUGCUUGCUAGACUUUGAGCCACACAUUUACUUUUUACUGCUUAUGAGCAUUGAGUGUGGUCAAGUUGUGUAGACCCUUAGGAGCUUGUCAUGUGGUUAAAUCAAGAUUCACUUGCACGUUCACUCACACAUGCUGCUUCUACUUAGGAAGUACCAUCCACAUAUAUCCAUUUCCAUCUCCAGAACCACCCAAAAAUAUUCUACUCCUAAACUGGGAGAGAAUAGCCAAAAACAUUUCUGUUUUUCCCCUAUGAAAUAAAUGCUCAAGUUAUCUUGGUUACUACCACUUGCUACAUUAUUUCAAGAGAUGAGUGCUCUAAAAAAAAGAGAAAAAAAAGAGAAAAAAAAAGAUACGAGGAAAUAAAAAGGGGCAAGUGCCCGGAACCUCGAAAGAAAAGAAAAAGUGAGACGAGAGGUAAAAAUGGACAAGUGUCCGACAGUAGAAUUAGGGGUACAAGAUACCCACUUGAGAAAAAAGAAAAAAAAUAUAGAGCAUCUCAUUCUCCUCAAAAAGUUUCAAAAGAGCAAGGAAGGUAUGUAUCCCCUCAAAAGAGCAAAAGUAGGAUUAGACUUUCACCAUUGUUAUCACCAUCAUCACCAUACACCAUUCAUUCGCCACACAUGCACAUCUUGAUUUGACUUAUUGACUUGUUCUUCUGGAUCCAUGGUUUGACUAUGCAAUAAAUGUCUUGUAAGUAUGUAUUAGUUGUCUCCCACCUAUGAGCUCCAGAUAUUAAAGCCUUAUUAGAGUAGGGUGAGAGAAAAGGCAAUGCCACUAAGCCUCAUACCAAAAAUACCACAUACUUUGAGAGAAUGCAUACACUAUUACUGCCUUGGUAAGGAUCCAGAAAUACCACAAAAGAGAGACUAGAGAGAGUCAUACAAGGAAUCUCUGAGUUUUAUUUGAAAAUCUGCAAAAACUCCAGAGCUAUAGUUAAUCGAAGAAUAAGAGACAUGGUGCUUGACUAGACUGUUCUAUCUUUUAACUACUCAAGACAGAAGUGACGGUUACAAGUCCCAUGGUGAAAGGUAAAUGAGUAAGUUUUAAGUCUUAACAGUUUACUCUAACCAGAGAUGAGAUCUUGUUUAAACGCAUGUGUAUCUUUAAGUUAUGAAACCACUGCAGAAACUCUUGAGUUUAUCUUUGCUUAGGGACGAGCAAAGGUUAAGCUUGGGGGAGCUUGUUGACGGUCCUUAAUGCUCAUAUUUAACCAUCAACUAAUCAUAGAAAAGGAUCCAAAUGCAACCAACACCUAGACUUAGGGUUUUAUCUGACAGAAUUCCACAAGUUUUGGUGUUUGUCUAUUUCUGUAGGGGGUUAUCAGGAAAUACGGAAAAAAGGCCCACACGUCGGGUUUACAUAGAGAUAUUAACGUGCCGCACAAAUUUCUACCAUCUAGAAGAGUCCAGAAGCCACAGGAGCGAACGGGAGACGUAACGUAGUCGGGCACUGGGCGCCCGCCCUCCCUUACUGGGCGCCCGCCCUCCCCCCUGGACCAAUCAGGGUGAAGUUCGGAGAUCAUGCUCCGCCGACCUAAUACGUCAAGGAAAACCACACGAUCAAUGUCGGUUUGAUCCGACGGCCCAGAUUCACUUGAAGGGACUAUAAAACCAGACCCCCCUGGCCCCUGGAGAUCAUACCUCUUCUACAGAAUCAAAGUUAGGGUUUCAAUUCUUCAUCCAAGUAGAGAGGAUCCCUCUAGUUCUUCUAGUUCUAUCUCUAGUUCAUCUAGAUCUAGUUCUAGUUCAUCUAGUUCUAGUUCUAGUUCCUCUAGUUCUAGUUCUAGUUCUAGUUAGUUCUAGUUGUAAUCUAGAAAAUAGGGAGAGAGAAGAGGAGAGCGGAGGAGGAGUCGGAUCUGUCGGAUCUUCCUCAACAUUAUAAUUUUGCAGCAUCUGGUUCGUUCUUCAUCGUUCUCCAGGUUCUUCAAUUCAUAACUCCUGAGUUCUUUAAUUACUUUUAUUUACAUUCAAGUUAUUUAUUGGAUUCCUGCUUGCAUCAAGUGCUCUAGUCUUUAUAACGCUAGAGUAGUAAUUAAUAGUUUAGACGUGGUGUUUAGUCUUGCGAUUACCUGGAAUUGCACCCAAUCCUACGGAUUGUUGUGGUAGCCCUAGGGUAGUGACAGCCCUAACGGUCGACGUAUUCCACCACGUUCGGAUCGGUGUUUGUAGGACCGUAGUCAGACCUUCCUAGCCCCCUUCUCAUCUCUUUCUGUGGUUAGUGCUCUGAUGUCCCGAUAUAAAUAAUCUUGAAGUAAUUCUUGAUUCUUAGAUCAACUAGAGAACUCUCAGGAAACUUCCUCUCUUCCCACCAAAAAUAAUUAUAUAGUUAUCCUUGGGCGAUCUUGAAUCUUAAUUUGUACACUCACGUUCCCUGUGGAAAAUCGAUACUCUGGAAUACUCCCGGGUGAAAGCUACAUCGGUAUCCGUGCGCUUGCGGAUUUUUUCUGUUUGCGUUUAAAAUACCCAACAAUACAUCACUUAGUGUCCCAUUGCCCACCUGCCUCCAGGUGGUUGCCAUACUAACUAGAGGGAUUUAGGCUAAGCCUUUCCCAUGCAAGGCGAGUGGUUGUACGAUAAAUGAGUUAGGCAAGAUGAAUCAUCAACUCAGUCCUUAAUCGAGACAAGGCGGAUAUCUUCACACUUAACCCCACAAGGUAUAAGCCACAACACCAAGGCAUCCCCAAAAGAGAUCCCAUCUGCCCCAUCACUAUAGUAAUCACAUCUAUAACUUGUUCAUUAACCCUUUCACAAUACCCACAAUUUAUUUUCACCACUCACGCAGUUUUGUUUUUUGUAUUUGAGAAAAUGUAGUGAUGAGUAUCCAGGAUGAGUGACAAUUCCUAAGCAUACUAAAUAAUAAUAUUUCUGUCAUAGCAUAUUAUUUGUUCCUAGGUUCGAAUAAGACAAUUACUGGGUAAUAUUAAUUCAAGGAUGGUUAUUCAACAGGUUUUAACUAAUCAGCGAAAAUACUUCGUACAUAUAUCGUACAUGCAAUAUUUAAAACGGCUUCCACGGGUUGUGUUUAAAAAUAGGAUCAAUAUGCAUCAAAGGAAAUUGGUUGGACUUGCCUCCGUCGGUGUCCUCGGCAAACUCCUGCUGACACUCCGGGUCCUCGGCGUCAAACUCGCGGUACUCGUCUCCAACGUCCGCGUUUUCCGGCUCGUUCACUCCGUCAGCUAAAAUACGCGACGACCGACACAGACAACAAGCACGGAGACACAGACAAAUAUAAGGAGAGAUAUAGAAAAAAAUACUAUAGAAAGAUAGAGAAGAGCAAGGAGAUGCUCAUGAGCUGCCCACCUCGUCUUGCGACGACAGUCGAGCUCGGCUUGUGCGUAUGGCCGUAUACGUUAUACGCGAAGUGAGAGCGAGUGAGCGUGUGAGCGAGCGUGAGUGAACGUGCUACUUUGGGUGUCGAUAGUGAGCACCCGAGACUGACUUUUUAUAGGCCAGAGGAGUGAGGUUAUGCCUCUGGUGCUCAGCUUCGUGCCAUUAGAAUUGCUACUGUAGUGCAUGGCUACACAGGAUGACAGGACGGUGGACGGUGCCUAAAUUUACAUGCAAAUGGCAAUGUCUCAUUUGCAUGCACGGUGCAUACAAAUGGUCGGUGCAUGCUUGUCCUACAUGCAUGCAUGCAUGCAUAAGAUAUAUUCAUAUGUGCGGGUGCACUACUAUGCUUUCUUGCAUGUAAGUUUGCUGGUACUUGCUGUUAUUUGUGCGCGCAAAAUAUGGAUGGUGCCUAGUUGAGCGUUGUGACUUGCUAUCUUUUUGUACAGCAAAAGAGGAGCAGGGAAAAGACAAUAGGUGGGGCCCGCAUGUCGUGGUGCGCGUGCGAGCGAGUGCGCUCGGCGAGGGGGCCGGGCGCGAGUGCGCUGCGGCGCUGAUGGUGGUGGGGUCGGCGCCGUUGCCGGGUAUCGGGCAAAGCGAGUGUUGGCAUUUCUUAACGUCAUCACUAAGAACAGGGUUUAAUCCGUCCUCAGCAACGAUGUUAGAAAUGUCGUGAUAACACUUACUAAUGCAAUCACCAAGAUUAGAGUAUAAAUCUAUCCUAAGCAACGGUGCCAGAAAUGCUUGUUAGCGUUUCUUAGCGUCGCUACCUAGAAUAGGGUUCUGCUAUACUCAUGAUAAUGACAUUGGCAGUGUUAUAUUGGCAGAUCCGUAGCGUCACCACCUUGAAUAGGAAGCUAGAUCUACCUUCCCGAUAAUGGCGCCUUAUUACCGUUAGGGUAGGGUUCGAGUUCUUAUUCAUGCUAGUGGCACUAGGAUUGCCAUGUUGGUAUUCCUUAACAAGUCACUAGCUCGGCACAUGUCUAGCAACAAUGUUAAGUAUAUACCAGGGUGAUAGUUCCUUAGGUUUGGACUUUAAGUACCGCAAGCAGACGGGAAUUACCGUGUAGCAUAUCAACCCAGGGAUUUACCGAGUGUCGUAUUUAUAGGUUCGCUCUAAGGAAGGCUUAAUAUGUUAAGGAUUCUAAGAUAAGCAUAGAUCAAAGUAAUUAUGAUAGCAAUAAUGGAAUCAAAAGUCAUAGCAGGUGAUAAACAUUUAUAUGUAGAAUAGUGAUCCAUCACAAUCUAGGCAUGGCAUAUGGGCUAAGGAAUAAAAAGAGACUAAAAGAAUGAAUUGAAUCAAAGAAUAAACAAACAACCUAUUGGAGCAGGUGUGGUCCUAGAUACAGAUCAUGUCAUAGAACAAGUUAAUCAUGUAAUUAUACAACUUAGAUCUAGUCCUGUGUUUAGAUAGUUUGGGAGGUUACGCGAGUACUGGUUUGCCAGCAACCUCCACAACUAUUUAGACUCCUACACACUAGCCGAACAUGGGGGAAUGCCAACGACGGACAGGGCUGUCACCACCUGCCGCCAUCCCCACAACCGUGGACUAGGACAAUGCAUUUACCCGGCCUUUACACCCAAGCACCAUGCUUACAUGCAAAGAACCUACUCGGACUCCCCCGGGUGCCUGACCCUUUGGAUCGGCAGGUAAGAAGCCCGAGCCUACUCAAAAGAGCAUGAUAAACCCCCAUCUUCACACAAAGCUAUUUCUAGGCAAUUAAUUAACAUGAAGCAAUUAGACUAAAGUCCUAAGUGAGAAUAAUACAACAUACACCUAGCACUAGUUCAUAUAAUACACUACUAGCCCUAGGGUAGCAUUAUACUAUAAGAACUAUAUACUAAAAUGUAUGUCAUAUCAUUUUCACUAGAACUAUAUUCUAGUUCAUAUGCUAGCAUCAUAAAACAGGGCCUAUGAUCUAUGUCAUAUACCAUAGCAUAAGAACUAUACUCUAGUUCAUAUGAAGAACUAUAUCGGACAUGAUAAGGCAUGGACUUGGAGUAAAGAUAUUCUUUAUUCAUACCCAAGUUUCUCUCUAAGGAGCCAAGCCCUCCUUGAUAGCUCACCCAACUCUCUCUCUAAAAGCUAAAAGGAAAAACUAAGAAGAGGUAGUGCCCAAGUGCCUUGAAGGUGGAGUGUUGAUAGUGAAUGUGAUGAGAUGAAUGGAGCCUCCCUCUCCCCGUCCUUAAAUAGGUGGGGAAGGUCGGCUCCCCAGGGUGUACACUGCAAUUUGCACGCGGGGUCUGCGGGAGGAUAGGCUCAGCACCGCCUCUGCGAAAGGCGGUGCCGUGAUGGGCUGGGCCAGGGUCGGCCGACCCUAGGGGGCGGCCACCCCCUGGUUGGCCCCGCUGGCCCCGGCCCGAAGCCCGUUGCCUUCCUCUCGGGCCCCUGAGUCUAGAUCUACCUGCAAAUUGAUGCACUUCUAUAUUGGGCUUUUGGGUACUUGUUUAUUUGCGCAUUUUUUGACGUGUCGGAUUGCGCCUUUUUAUUUGCUUUCCACCUGUAUGCCUGUAUAUGAUCUGCAAAACACAACUUGCACUACAUGUGGAACUUGGUAAGCAUUUAAUAAGUAUAUGUGGAACUUGCACUAUAUGUGUAACUUGGUAAGCAUUUAAUACAUGCUUUUCUUCCUUUGCAUGGACUAUGUUGGCGGGGUAAAUAUGUCAUUAAGAACUGCCAACAAACUCCCCAAAGCUUACCCCUUGCUCGUCCUCGAGCAAGAAGCUAAGAUCUUGGUUGUUGAUCAGGAGUUGCUACAAUAUUUUCACUUCUAUCCAGUACAUACCUUCAAACAUGAAUACUCCUUUGAAUUUUGAACAGAUAUGUCUUGGGGCUUAUUGCUCAUACCUUGAGUCCUUAAGCAUUUGCAGGAUGGAUUUGAUGAGAUCGAGCGCUAUAUCCCUAGUUCUUUACUUCACUUUUGUUCCGGAGUUUUUUUUUAUUUUCAAAACUUAGCACAUUUAUUUGUCAAAUUAAACAAUGGAUCCAAAGAGAAAGUUAAUCAUACCAUUGAAUUUUUGAAAACUUUUUCUUUUCCAUCAUUCUCUUUUUGUCUAUUAGAGGCACAUGGCUAUGUGGCUAAUUCUACUGUUGGGCACUUGCCCAUUUUUUUUAUUUUUAUUUUUUUUGAGGUUUCGGACACAUGUCCCUUUUUAUUUCCUCGUGAUCUUUCUUUUUGAGGUUUUGGACACAUGUCCCUUUUUAUUUCCUCGGAUGCUUUUUUUUUGUUUUUCAUAGCCAUAUGUCUUCUAACAAACUUUUGAGAUGAUAACACAAUGAAAUAUUUUUGUUUUCAAUGGUAUGACAACCUCUCAAAGGGUCAACAAAGCAUAAUCUAACUCAAUGUGAUUAUUUUAUUUUUGUAAAAACUCCAGAACUCUAGCGUUGUUUAGAACAGGAUACUAGCAGCUCAGAUCAUCACAAAUAUAUCCAUUAAUUACUUUAGACUUUAGAUAGAGCAUUUUGCAACCCACGCAUUUAAUCAUUUUAUUAAUUUUGAGAAUUCAAGGUUGAAACUAGAUACUGGAAAGAAAUUACGAUAGAGCAACUAUUCAUCAUUUCAACAAGGAAGAAGCAUAUAUCUUACAUCACAUAUAAGAGUGGAAUUAUAUUUUUGUCUUUUUAGCAAUUUUUCAUUUUUUUUAUAUGCAAUAAUUAAAACAUGAAUUUAACUAAUGGAAAUUUCAUAAAGUAAACAUGCUAAUUUAAAAUUAAGGAUGCAUGAAAAUAAAUAUGCAAUGCAGAUAACCUAGGGAUUGGGGGUCCUCCCCCAAGCUAGCUUCUGGCCUACUGAUCGGGGUUAUACCCCAUGUACCGCCAGAAGUCUUGGGACUGUUUCAGCAGCUGAUCUUGGCGAGCUUGCAUUUCUUCUUGCUGCUGCUGGUGCCAGGCCUGUUGUUGCUGUUGCCAUAGCAACCCUUGCUGGUGCCACUCCACGGCCUGCUGGUGGUCCGCAUCGGUGGUUUGGAUGUGUUGUUGGAGAGUAUCUUGGAUCUCAUCCGUGCGCACCACCAGUCCCCCAAGCUGAGCUUGGAGGCGCUCCAAGUCUGUUCGGCCUACUGUGGAAGCCAAAGGAUGUUCUUCUGGUGAUUCGUCCCUCCAGCGCGAUUGUUGUUCCCAAGCUCUGGAAUCCGCCUCACCCCACCCCUCAACACCUUGUGUCGGCAUGGGUGUGUCCCACCCCGACUGGUAGAUCGGCUGUGUAUAGGAGGGUGGUGGCUGGGAGCU
This 35269-nucleotide long non-coding RNA is filed under the name Sorghum bicolor (sorghum). RNAcentral describes it as "long non-coding RNA (SBIC_LNC016294)". The record is from RNAcentral. Lineage: Eukaryota; Viridiplantae; Streptophyta; Magnoliopsida; Poales; Poaceae.